This 274-nucleotide ribosomal RNA is filed under the name uncultured bacterium. Its description in RNAcentral is "partial 16S ribosomal RNA". It matches the Rfam family "Bacterial small subunit ribosomal RNA", at positions 523 to 796 of the family's 1533-position model. The record is from RNAcentral.
AUACGGAGGGGGCUAGCGUUGUUCGGAAUUACUGGGCGUAAAGCGUACGUAGGCGGACUGAUCAGUUGGGGGUGAAAUCCCAGGGCUUAACCCUGGAACUGCCUUCAAUACUGUCAGUCUUGAGAUUGAAAGAGGUGAGUGGAAUUCCUAGUGUAGAGGUGAAAUUCAUAGAUAUUAGGAGGAACACCAGUGGCGAAGGCGGCUCACUGGUCCAAUACUGACGCUGAGGUACGAAAGCGUGGGGAGCAAACAGAAUUAGAAACCCUAGUAGUCC